Molecule: long non-coding RNA, 264 nt
Organism: Hyaena hyaena (striped hyena)
Lineage: Eukaryota; Metazoa; Chordata; Mammalia; Carnivora; Hyaenidae
Exons: 3
Source: RefSeq, a predicted model, not a curated record
CUGAAUGAAUUUAACUUGCUCAGUUUAAGUUUUAUCUAUUGUAUAGGUCUGACCACCACCCUUAAGGACAAUAUUUAAGGAUGACCUUGUCUAUGUUUACAAAGAGCUGGAGUAUAGACAGAAAUUGUGUUAAAUCAGGAGAGGUAUAGAAGAUGGCCACAAAGUAGAAAGGCCCUAGGCUCAUCUCAUCAUGUAAACACAACCAGAUCCCUGUGAAGCACAGUUUUCACAGAAUGUUCCCAAGUCACCCUGUGUGUUCAUCUG